UACGUAGGGUGCGAGCGUUGUCCGGAAUUAUUGGGCGUAAAGAGCUCGUAGGCGGUCUGUCGCGUCGGCUGUGAAAACUCGGGGCUCAACCCCGAGCCUGCAGUCGAUACGGGCAGACUAGAGUGCUGUAGGGGAGACUGGAAUUCCUGGUGUAGCGGUGAAAUGCGCAGAUAUCAGGAGGAACACCGGUGGCGAAGGCGGGUCUCUGGGUAGUAACUGACGCUGAGGAGCGAAAGCGUGGGGAGCAAACAGG
RNAcentral lists this ribosomal RNA (253 nucleotides) under uncultured bacterium. Its description in RNAcentral is "partial 16S ribosomal RNA". It matches the Rfam family "Bacterial small subunit ribosomal RNA", at positions 524 to 776 of the family's 1533-position model. The record is from RNAcentral.